This 253-nucleotide ribosomal RNA is filed under the name uncultured bacterium. Its description in RNAcentral is "partial 16S ribosomal RNA". It matches the Rfam family "Bacterial small subunit ribosomal RNA", at positions 524 to 776 of the family's 1533-position model. The record is from RNAcentral.
UACGUAGGGUGCGAGCGUUGUCCGGAAUUAUUGGGCGUAAAGGGCUCGUAGGCGGUUUGUCGCGUCGGGAGUGAAAUCACUGGGCUUAACCGAGUGCUUGCUUUCGAUACGGGCAGACUUGAGGCAUUCAGGGGAGAACGGAAUUCCUGGUGUAGCGGUGAAAUGCGCAGAUAUCAGGAGGAACACCGGUGGCGAAGGCGGUUCUCUGGGAAUGUUCUGACGCUGAGGAGCGAAAGCAUGGGUAGCAAACAGG